This 72-nucleotide transfer RNA is filed under the name Schistosoma japonicum. RNAcentral's name for it is "tRNA-Gln". The record is from RNAcentral. Lineage: Eukaryota; Metazoa; Platyhelminthes; Trematoda; Strigeidida; Schistosomatidae.
GACUCAGUGAUCUAGUGGUAAGGCGUUCGCCGUUGAACCAGAAGGUCCUAAGUUCGGUCCCCAGUGGGGUCG